UACGUAGGGGGCAAGCGUUGUCCGGAAUCAUUGGGCGUAAAGAGCGCGUAGGCGGCCCUGUAAGUCCGCUGUGAAAGUCAAGGGCUCAACCCUUGAAUGCCGGUGGAUACUGCAGGGCUAGAGUCCGGAAGAGGCGAGUGGAAUUCCUGGUGUAGCGGUGAAAUGCGCAGAUAUCAGGAGGAACACCGGUGGCGAAGGCGGGUCUCUGGGCCGGAACUGACGCUAAGGAGCGAAAGCGUGGGGAGCGAACAGG
Molecule: ribosomal RNA, 253 nt
Filed under: uncultured bacterium
Lineage: Bacteria
Description: partial 16S ribosomal RNA
Rfam family: Bacterial small subunit ribosomal RNA
Source: RNAcentral